RNAcentral lists this non-coding RNA (348 nucleotides) under insect gut metagenome. The record is from RNAcentral.
GCAAGCAGAUAUCAGGAUGAUGUCUCUUCUGAAAGGACUACGCUGGAGUGGCGCUGCAGGGAAGUGCUUCAGGACGAAGCGAAGGACCAGCGCGGGAUAAGCGUUAAAGGACACCUCCAGGAUGGAGAAUGAGAGCCGGACGGGACAGAAGGCGGAUCAUGAAGAUCACAACGUGCGUCAGGAUGGCGUAACGUACAUCAGGAUGAUGAGCAGGAAGCAAGUGCGAAGGACAGCGAGCCAGGAAGGUCAAAGGAAAAGUUGUCACGGAUGAGCAGGGAGCACUGAAGGUAGCUGGAUUGCUGCAAAACGAACCGGAGGGCGCUGAUUUUUCAGCGCCCUCCCUUUUUU